UAAAGAUACAUGGAGCACAAGUCCGGAGGCCGGGCGAACGGAUUCUACCUGGAUAUCACGGGAUACUUGUUGUAAACUUACUCAGACUGCUUUCCAUGUAGCAACCGACUAGGAUUAUAUCCUAUCUGAUUUUAACCCUAGGUCGUCAAGCUAUAUAAGUCACCAGGGACGCCUCCAGACUCCCGAGAUCAUCUCAACUCUCCGCAUACCAUACCAGCAAUACAAUCCACCAGAAUACAGGACAUAGAGUAUUACUCUCUGGAGGCCCAAACCUGUCUAAACCUUGCACGCCUGUGUUACCUUUUGAGUUCUUGGUCUCACGAUCUCCCCCCUACAAAUCUACCACCUGGGUAACCCCUUGGUGGACUGCCGGUCAUUAAAUCCGACAAGAACCUUAUCCACAGUGGUUGACUCUGGUCAAAAACCGGUGUCAACACAUGCCCCCCAAUUUUGGAAUAUAUAAUCUGGUUCCAAAAUUCUCUUCUCUUGUCAACACCUUCACAGGUCCCGAGCCGAUAUCCUUCCAAGACUAAAAAGAGUCAUUGCCAUAAUUAUGACCUCAUCCUCCGGGUUUUAUGAAAGCAUUCCCCCAUUUUUCAGGAUUCACCCUACAAAGAUCAUUAUAUAACCGCUCUAGUCCCUUUCAUCUUCUUCACCAAGCCGAUGGAAGUCUUUCACCGCCACAGCCAAAAAUUGAAUCUUUCCCUUCACGAACC
This 716-nucleotide long non-coding RNA is filed under the name Setaria viridis. Its description in RNAcentral is "long non-coding RNA (SVIR_LNC010839)". Lineage: Eukaryota; Viridiplantae; Streptophyta; Magnoliopsida; Poales; Poaceae. The record is from RNAcentral.